AUAUUGUGAAUAUUAAUGACUGACAUAGUGCCUUUGAAUUAAUAUACUAUAUAGCUGUCAUAAUAUUUGGUUUACCUUCAAUUUUCAUCAAUGUAGUGAACUUGGCGAGAGAAACAGAUAUAUACAGUACAGUGAUAUCACAAGAACGACUUGUCUGAAGGAAACGAUGAAUUAACAACAAAGCUUAUGCCAACUUUAAAUCUUUUAAGUCG
Non-coding RNA from Paramuricea clavata, 212 nucleotides. The record is from the annotation of a GenBank genome assembly. Lineage: Eukaryota; Metazoa; Cnidaria; Anthozoa; Malacalcyonacea; Plexauridae.